This 346-nucleotide unclassified non-coding RNA is filed under the name soil metagenome. RNAcentral describes it as "partial contains 5.8S ribosomal RNA, internal transcribed spacer 2, and large subunit ribosomal RNA". The stretch from base 1 to 120 matches the Rfam family "5.8S ribosomal RNA", at positions 35 to 154 of the family's 154-position model. The record is from RNAcentral.
GAUGAAGAACGUAGCGAAAUGCGAUAAGUAAUGUGAAUUGCAGAAUUCAGUGAAUCAUCGAAUCUUUGAACGCACAUUGCGCCCAUUAGUAUUCUAGUGGGCAUGCCUGUUCGAGCGUCAUUUCAACCCUUAAGCCUAGCUUAGUGUUGGGAGCCUACUGCUUUUACUAGCUGUAGCUCCUGAAAUACAACGGCGGAUCUGCGAUAUCCUCUGAGCGUAGUAAUUUUUAUCUCGCUUUUGACUGGAGUUGCAGCGUCUUUAGACGCUAAAUCCCCCAAUUUUUAAUGGUUGACCUCGGAUCAGGUAGGAAUACCCGCUGAACUUAAGCAUAUCAAUAAGCGGAGGA